GAUGAACGCUGGCGGCGUGCCUAAUACAUGCAAGUCGAGCGAAGGGGGGACGGGUGAGUAAUACGUGGCUAACCUCCUAUAAGACUGGGAUAACUUCGGGAAACCGAAGCUCAACCCGUUACUUAUAGAUGGUUCCUGGUUGCAUUAGCUAGUUGGUACGGUAACGGCUUACCAAGGCUACGAUGCAUAGCCGACCUGAGAGGAUGAUCGGCCACACUGGAACUGAGACACGGUCCAGACUCCUACGGGAGGCAGCAGUGGGGAAUCUUCGGCAAUGGGCGAAAGCCUGACGGAGCAACGCCGCGUGAGUGAUGAAGGUCUUCGGAUCGUAAAACUCUGUUAUUAGGGAAGCGGUACCUAAUCAGAAGGCCACGGCUAACUACGUGCCAGCAGCCGCGGUAAUAC
Molecule: ribosomal RNA, 405 nt
Filed under: uncultured bacterium
Lineage: Bacteria
Description: partial 16S ribosomal RNA
Rfam family: Bacterial small subunit ribosomal RNA
Source: RNAcentral